Molecule: non-coding RNA, 79 nt
Organism: Glycine soja
Lineage: Eukaryota; Viridiplantae; Streptophyta; Magnoliopsida; Fabales; Fabaceae
Source: Rfam
AGCAAAGUGAUGAAGUCCUAAUAUCUGAAUAUGAUGUGGAUUUCUUAGUUCAUAUGGUCUUCAAAGUUCUCUGAUUGCU